UACGGAGGGGGCUAGCGUUGUUCGGAAUUACUGGGCGUAAAGCGCGCGUAGGCGGCUUUGUAAGUCAGAGGUGAAAGCCCGGAGCUCAACUUCGGAAUAGCCUUUGAGACUGCAUCGCUUGAAUCCGGGAGAGGUGAGUGGAAUUCCGGAGUGUAGAGGUGAAAUUCGUAGAUAUUCGGAAGAACACCAGGUGGCGAAGGCGGCUCACUGGAC
Molecule: ribosomal RNA, 213 nt
Filed under: uncultured bacterium
Lineage: Bacteria
Description: partial 16S ribosomal RNA
Rfam family: Bacterial small subunit ribosomal RNA
Source: RNAcentral